GAUAUUUAGAAGGUAAAGCAGAAAGGAUGUGGCGCUGGGUGAAUGUGGGGGGUGAGGGGAAGGAAGCAUGGAGGACACAUGGCUCCCGGCCCAGAAAGGAAUUUGGCUCAGUUGCAGCGCUUUCCUGUAUGAGCAGCAGCUAAGGCGACCUGAACCCUUGGCGGCCGCCAGACGUCUGGACAGUCUGUUCACACCAACUCUGCCUGGCAACCUAUCGGUCACUGUCCUCGAGGACCAAAGGCCUGCGUGGGCUUCUGACAUGCUGACGGGGUCCUCUCACGAUGCCCCCCCUUCCCCAAGGAGUGUGGAUUCUGUUCAAAUUUCAAGGAUCACUUUCAGUUUUUCAUAAUUUCCAUAGAUUUCAUAUGGUCAAAUGAAGCCCUUACUCGUUUGGAGAACAGGAAACCACAAGCCAGUUCCACCUUGGGCACGAGUGUAUAUGCAUGUGUAUAUGUGUGUGUGUGUGUGUGCACAUAUGUGUGUGUGUUCAACAUGUGGACAAUAGUACACAUACAUUUUUCAUUCUUAUUUCAUUCAUUAUAAGGCAUAAAAAGUUACUAAGUUGGAUUUUUUCUUUACUAUCCUCAUCCACAUAGAUUAAAUUGAACACCUUAGAGUUGACAGUUUAGAUAGACGAAGCUGGAACACAAAUUCCUGACCGUUUUGCAAAUUGAAUGGAAUUAAGCUAAGACUCAUAGGUAGGUCUUUCAUUGGACACUGUUUCAGCAAGGUCAGAAAGAGAAGAUUGAAAGAUCCUAUUUUGAACUAAUCUAAGUCUUUCCAGGUGUCAAGCUUUAUGACCAGAAUCUCUAAGCCCAGAGUCACGUGUUGUGACAGAAUUCUGAGAUGGGCCCUGAGAGUCCCGCCCCUAGUGUGUGCCGGGCCCCUUCCUGGACCAUGGGCAGGACCCGUGAGCAUGAUGGUUGUCACUCCUGAGAUUAGGUUAUGCCACAUGGCAAAGGCGAAGGGAUUUUGCAGGUGUAUUUAAGGUCCCAAAUGAGUUGAUUUUGAGUUUAUGGGAAGCGAGAUUAUUCUGGAUGGGCCUGACGUAAUCAGGGGCACCCUUUAAAAGCCAGUCUGGAGGUCAGCGCCUCGCAGCAAUAGAGGGAUGCGCCCCUGCUGGCCUGGAAGAAGGAAACAGCCGCAUGGUGAAAUGCCUAUGAGGAGGGGUGGCCUGGGAGCUGAGGUUCCCAGCCCUACAGCUGCGAGGAGCUCAGUUCUGCCACCUGCCUGAGGGAGCGUGGAAGGGGGUUCUGAGCCUCUCGGGGAGAUGCCAGCCUGCUGACACUUUGUGAGCCCCUGCAGAGAGAACCCAGCCACACUGAGGCUGGACUCCUGACCCACGGAAACUGCGGGCUAAUAACUAGCUGUUAUUUUCAGCUGGAUGAAAACAGCCUUGGGCAAUAUGUGAAUGAACGGACGUGGCUGCGUUCCAAUAAGAUGGACGUGCAGACCAGGCGGCGGGCCUGCAGUUCCCGCUCCAGGACAGAAGACUAAAGAGAUAAAACAACCAAAUCUUGAUUGGAUCCUAGUUUGAAAGAAACAGCUAUAAAAGGUGUUUUGGGCUAAUUAGGAAAAUUAGGGAUGCCUAUUAAAUACCGAUAUUAAAUAACAACUGUUAGUUUGCGUAGGUGUGUGUGGUUACGUAGGAGAAUGACCUGGUUCCUAAGAGACUCAUCCUGAAGUACUUGGGGGCUGAGGUGUCUUGGUGUGACCAGCGCUGGAAGUGGAUGAGGACAGCGAGGGAAGUUUCUGCAAGAGCAGGGUCAGGUCCCGUUUUUGUUUAAAAUGUUAGCAUUUUGUUCAUCAUGGAUUUUUUAUUCAUUUUGAUUGCCUUAAAAAUAUGGUAAUAAAAUAUUAUUUAUCCUGAUUGCUGAGGUUUUGGGUGCCCUUCUAACCUUUGUGCCCAGAGGACUACCUCCCUCCCGUCACCCUAGCCCGGGCCUCACUUUGAAAGGGUCUAGCAGACGAUUGACAGCGAUACGACAAUCCUGGAACCUUGGUGGACCUGACUGUGGCUGUUGAGCAUGCGUUGUAUAUACAUUCCCUAUGGCAAGAACAAA
Long non-coding RNA from Equus caballus (horse), 2063 nucleotides. RefSeq lists it as uncharacterized. NCBI's taxonomy places the organism in Eukaryota, Metazoa, Chordata, Mammalia, Perissodactyla, Equidae. The record is from RefSeq and is a predicted model, not a curated record.